This 468-nucleotide ribosomal RNA is filed under the name uncultured bacterium. RNAcentral describes it as "partial 16S ribosomal RNA". It matches the Rfam family "Bacterial small subunit ribosomal RNA", at positions 28 to 507 of the family's 1533-position model. The record is from RNAcentral.
GACGAACGCUGGCGGCGUGCUUAACACAUGCAAGUCGAACGGAAAGGCCCUGCUUUUGUGGGGUGCUCGAGUGGCGAACGGGUGAGUAACACGUGAGUAACCUGCCCUUGACUUUGGGAUAACUUCAGGAAACUGGGGCUAAUACCGGAUAGGAGCUCCUGCUGCAUGUUGGGGGUUGGAAAGUUUCGGCGGUUGGGGAUGGACUCGCGGCUUAUCAGCUUGUUGGUGGGGUAGUGGCUUACCAAGGCUUUGACGGGUAGCCGGCCUGAGAGGGUGACCGGCCACAUUGGGACUGAGAUACGGCCCAGACUCCUACGGGAGGCAGCAGUGGGGAAUAUUGAACAAUGGGCGGAAGCCUGAUGCAGCAACGCCGAGUGCGGGAUGACGGCCUUCGGGUUGUAAACCGCUUUCGCCUGUGACGAAGAGUGAGUGACGGUAAUGGGUAAAGAAGCACCGGCUAACUACGUG